GUGAUAAGCUUUUAUAAAUAAAACCAAGUCACAUAUUCUUCAUUGUAUGUGAUCAGAACUUGACAGUAGCAGUCCAUAAAUUUGUUCCCAGGAAACAAAUCUUGAAGAGAGAUUAAGUGUAGUUCUGAAUGUACACAUCAACAUGUAUGUAUAGAAAUCCAUGAAUUAAUUGACGCAUGGUAAAUUUGGGUGACUGAACAAAGAGAAAAAUGAUUUUUUGAAUACUUACUAAAAAUUGU
This 239-nucleotide long non-coding RNA is filed under the name Bos taurus (domestic cattle). RNAcentral's name for it is "long non-coding RNA NONBTAT009690". Lineage: Eukaryota; Metazoa; Chordata; Mammalia; Artiodactyla; Bovidae. The record is from RNAcentral.